This 497-nucleotide ribosomal RNA is filed under the name uncultured bacterium. RNAcentral describes it as "bacterial SSU rRNA". It matches the Rfam family "Bacterial small subunit ribosomal RNA", at positions 28 to 507 of the family's 1533-position model. The record is from RNAcentral.
GAUGAACGCUGGCGGCGUGCCUAAUACAUGCAAGUCGAGCGAACAGAUAAGGAGCUUGCUCCCUUGACGUUAGCGGCGGACGGGUGAGUAACACGUGGGUAACCUACCUAUAAGACUGGAAUAACUCCGGAAAACCGGGCUAAUGCCGGAUAACAUUUAGAACCGCAUGGUUCUAAAAGUGAAAGAUGGUUUUGCUAUCACUUAUAGAUGGACCCGCGCCGUAUUAGCUAGUUGGUAAGGUAAUGGCUUACCAAGGCAACGAUACGUAGCCGACCUGAGAGGGUGAUCGGCCACACUGGAACUGAGACACGGUCCAGACUCCUACGGGAGGCAGCAGUAGGGAAUCUUCCGCAAUGGGCGAAAGCCUGACGGAGCAACGCCGCGUGAGUGAUGAAGGGUUUCGGCUCGUAAAACUCUGUUAUUAGGGAAGAACAAACGUGUAAGUAACUGUGCACGUCUUGACGGUACCUAAUCAGAAAGCCACGGCUAACUACGUG